Molecule: ribosomal RNA, 407 nt
Filed under: uncultured bacterium
Lineage: Bacteria
Description: partial 16S ribosomal RNA
Rfam family: Bacterial small subunit ribosomal RNA
Source: RNAcentral
AUUGAACGCUGGCGGCAGGCCUAACACAUGCAAGUCGAGCGGAGCGGCGGACGGGUGAGUAAUGUCUGGGAAACUGCCGAUGAGGGGGGGAUAACGUCCGGACACGGGCGCUAAUCCCGCAUACUCUCAGAUGAGCCUAGGUCGGUUUAGCUAGUUGGUGGGGUAAAGGCCUACCAAGGCGACGAUCCGUAACUGGUCUGAGAGGAUGAUCAGUCACACUGGAACUGAGACACGGUCCAGACUCCUACGGGAGGCAGCAGUGGGGAAUAUUGGACAAUGGGCGAAAGCCUGAUCCAGCCAUGCCGCGGGUGUGAAGAAGGUCUUCGGAUUGUAAAGCACUUUAAGUUGGGAGGCGUUACCAACAGAAUAAGCACCGGCGAACUUCGUGCCAGCAGCCGCGGUAAUUC